UGAAUUGCGAUAAGUAAUGUGACUUGCAUUCAUUUGUGAAUCAUCGAAUCUUUGAACGCACCUUGCACUUGUGGAGUCUAUCCACGAGUAUACCUGUUUGAGUAUCAUAAACAUUUUCCGAGAGAUUGGGAUUUGAGGUCCACCUGAAUUUAUUUUAGGGAUGGUGUUCCUUUAAAUGCAGUGAGGAACAGAAUAAUUUUUUGAUUCUGGUCGAGUGAGGAUAUUUUUGCAUUCAUGCAAAGAGUAAUCAUAAGAGAGGAAGAACGAGGUUAUUCAAAUUGUUUCUUAAAGGAGGAGGAGGAGGAUUUUACUGCAAAGCAAAAUGUGCCUUCGCAAACGUAAACUACGUAGUAUAAAUGUGAUCUCAAAUCAGGCAAGAGUACCCGCUGAACUUAA
RNAcentral lists this unclassified non-coding RNA (396 nucleotides) under uncultured fungus. Its description in RNAcentral is "sequence contains ITS1". The stretch from base 1 to 107 matches the Rfam family "5.8S ribosomal RNA", at positions 49 to 154 of the family's 154-position model. The record is from RNAcentral. Lineage: Eukaryota; Fungi.